RNAcentral lists this long non-coding RNA (454 nucleotides) under Calidris pugnax (ruff). RNAcentral's name for it is "lncRNA (ENSCPUG00000018797.1)". Lineage: Eukaryota; Metazoa; Chordata; Aves; Charadriiformes; Scolopacidae. The record is from RNAcentral.
AAGGUGAUGACAGCCAGGGGACUGCUGGAUUUGCAUGCUAAUUCCUCUAUUUUAGCAUCACACAGCCAAACUACAGGGCUGAAGCAGUGGCCUGUCUGGGUGGCUGUCGUGACUUCCCAAAUCCUAGAAGACCCCACCUGUGAGAAAUAAACUGACUGUCAGUGUUUGCAGCAAUAAAAAGGUUGAACACCCUCCUGAGAAGAGCACAAUUCCUGUAACGAAGGAGGAUGAGCGCUGAGACACACACCCCAGCUCUGCAGCAGCAGAUGUUGGGUUUCAUCAUGGCCCAGUCUGACAGGCAGCUGAGAGCAACCUGCAAAAAAAACCCAAACCAAAACACAGCAAAAACCAAAGAUCCCCAAAUCCAGGGGCUCAACGAUCCAUACAUCCAGAUUUCGGAGUGACUGGUCCUCCUCCUGCUUCACUUGUGCCCUGAGAUCAUCUCAAAGCUGGA